RNAcentral lists this ribosomal RNA (468 nucleotides) under uncultured bacterium. Its description in RNAcentral is "partial 16S ribosomal RNA". It matches the Rfam family "Bacterial small subunit ribosomal RNA", at positions 28 to 507 of the family's 1533-position model. The record is from RNAcentral.
GACGAACGCUGGCGGCGUGCUUAACACAUGCAAGUCGAACGGAAAGGCCCUGCUUGUGUGGGGUGCUCGAGUGGCGAACGGGUGAGUAACACGUGAGUAACCUGCCCUUGACUUUGGGAUAACUUCAGGAAACUGGGGCUAAUACCGGAUAGGAGCUCCUGCUGCAUGGUGGGGUUUGGAAAGUUUCGGCGGUUGGGGAUGGACUCGCGGCUUAUCAGCUUGUUGGUGGGGUAGUGGCUUACCAAGGCUUUGACGGGUAGCCGGCCUGAGAGGGUGACCGGCCACAUUGGGACUGAGAUACGGCCCAGACUCCUACGGGAGGCAGCAGUGGGGAAUAUUGCACAAUGGGCGGAAGCCUGAUGCAGCAACGCCGCGUGCGGGAUGACGGCCUUCGGGUUGUAAACCGCUUUCGCCUGUGACGAAGCGUGAGUGACGGUAAUGGGUAAAGAAGCACCGGCUAACUACGUG